CCUUGCUCUUCCAACUGUCAUUCUGGUCCUGCCAGUCAACUUUAGAAUUCCAAAAUCCUCCAACUCCAUCUUAACAAGGGGAAGAAUAUUAUUAUUAGAAGGAGAGGAAGAGAGUGCUAAAAGUCCUAUGAUAACCCAGAUCUUCUCCAUUGUCAGAAUCAUGCCCAAAUUCAUACCUGUUGUAUUCUUCUGGAUCAGCACCUUCAGUUUGAUCUUCACAAUGAAGACCAUCAUAAGCCUCUUCCUCCUUUCCUUUGUCUUGACUGUCAACAGUCAGAAUGAAGCUAGAAAGUGGUUUGGUGAAGGUGUUAAGGAAGUGUGUUCGUUUAUCUGUGAGGUGGAUUCUGUUAAUGAUUUACCUCCUGGUGGAAAUGAUGCAACCGGGUAUGAAUUUGGUCAUGUUUCUAACAGUGGAGCAAAUCUGGGUUAUCUUGGCAUCCCUUCAAAUUGAGAAUGUUUACUAUGGAUAAUACAGAUAAAAUUUGCCUGUGUACUUCCAAAAGUGGCUAUUGCCAGAUCCCAGGCAGGACCUUCAGUUUGUUAGUCCGACAAAGAGAAGUAAGAUUUGGUAUGUUGUUAGUACUAAUACGGUAUCCAUUUCCUAAAUGAUAAGAAUAUCUAAGGGAGAAUUUCUUCUUUUCAUUUUUUUUUUGUUUUCCUAAAUUUGAUAGCAACACACUUGAACAUUUCCAAU
RNAcentral lists this long non-coding RNA (694 nucleotides) under Monodelphis domestica (gray short-tailed opossum). RNAcentral's name for it is "lncRNA (ENSMODG00000032148.2)". Lineage: Eukaryota; Metazoa; Chordata; Mammalia; Didelphimorphia; Didelphidae. The record is from RNAcentral.